AUGGUGAGGAGGAGAGAGAGGAUUGGAGGAAAAGAAAGGAAAAUGGGAAGAAGGAGAACUCACAUAAGGGAAAAGGAGGAGAAUGAGAAAGAAGAGCAGGGGCAACAAGAAAUUGAUGAAGAGAAAGAGGAGGAACAAAAGGAGAUAAAUGAGCAGAAGGGAAGGAAGGAGAAUGGUAAAGAGGAAGAGGAUUCGAAGGAAAGGGAUGAGAAGGACCAGAAUGACCAAAAAAAUUGCCCUCACUUCUUUAGGGUGCCCAUAUCCUAUUCAUUUAUGGAACACAUGGUAGGUUUUCUUGAUUCAUAA
This 306-nucleotide ribosomal RNA is filed under the name Triticum aestivum (bread wheat). RNAcentral's name for it is "partial small subunit ribosomal RNA". The record is from RNAcentral. Lineage: Eukaryota; Viridiplantae; Streptophyta; Magnoliopsida; Poales; Poaceae.